RNAcentral lists this ribosomal RNA (253 nucleotides) under uncultured bacterium. RNAcentral describes it as "partial 16S ribosomal RNA". It matches the Rfam family "Bacterial small subunit ribosomal RNA", at positions 524 to 776 of the family's 1533-position model. The record is from RNAcentral.
UACGGAGGGGGCUAGCGUUGUUCGGAAUUACUGGGCGUAAAGCGCACGUAGGCGGACGAGAAAGUCAGAGGUGAAAUCCCAGGGCUCAACCCUGGAACUGCCUUUGAAACUCCUUGUCUUGAGGUCGAGAGAGGUGAGUGGAAUUCCGAGUGUAGAGGUGAAAUUCGUAGAUAUUCGGAGGAACACCAGUGGCGAAGGCGGCUCACUGGCUCGAUACUGACGCUGAGGUGCGAAAGCGUGGGGAGCAAACAGG